GACGAGCACUUCCAAUGCGCGUUGCACGUUCAGAACACACACAUCUACAGCGUCAGACCCGACGGCUCCACCACUGUUACUGACCGUAUCCUUUGAGAAAAUGAAGUACUUCAUCCCGUUCUGCCUUCUCCAAUGGGGAAACGGCGCUAUUAGUAGCCAAAUGUUCAUAACUCGCCUUCUGGGACUUGCCACUGUCAAUGGCGGGAUGCCCCGAGACAUCACCGCCUACGCAAACCAGCUGCUCAACAUCUUCCUCUCUUACGGCGCCAUCACGUUGCUUUCCAUGACAACGGUGUUUCUGGCCGGGCUCUACGUUUCAAUUAACCACCGCAGAAUCAUGCGAAGUCGUACCUUAUUCAACUCUGCCACCUUCCUGCUGCUUGUCAGCGUGACGGCCACCGUGCUAGCGAGCACCUAUCACUUGAUGGCAGUGAAGAAGACACUGGUCCGGGACUUUGAUCACGCUGUGUGCCAAGAAUACUAUACCACUAUGACGGCGCACGAAGAAGCUUGUGUGGAUGUACCACGCUGUAGGGCGAUAGAUGUCCCGUGUGGGAGAGGAGCGAAAAACCUGAAGGGUUCUAGAAGACGCUGUGGCGCUGCGGUCGGAAGUGUGGUGAGGCAGCCUCAUACUGUGUGGAUAGAAAGGGAGAUAAUUAGGUGUGUGCAAGCGAGAUGCGAUGUGAGAAAACUCAAUUUCAUGAACAUUGCAACGACGUUCACGGUUUCUAGCUUCGCUUCAAUUUGCGCGCUGGUAACCCUGGCGAGGAAUAUGCGCCCUCUGUGAGCGUUGCGACCCGAGAGAGAUUUUGGAGCUAUGAAGGAACUGGAGUAUGGCUAUAUGGUGUAACCGUAGGGUUAAUGCAUAAAUUAGCGAAUACUUUUGCGAUAGUUGCUUUGUGUUAAGUGAAUGGUUAUACCAGCAUUGAUAAUAAAAUAUUCAGGGACAGUGGG
This is a long non-coding RNA of Ornithodoros turicata, 954 nucleotides long. RefSeq lists it as uncharacterized. NCBI's taxonomy places the organism in Eukaryota, Metazoa, Arthropoda, Arachnida, Ixodida, Argasidae. The transcript is spliced from 2 exons. The record is from RefSeq and is a predicted model, not a curated record.